Mycobacterium sp. SP-6446 is the source of this 69-nucleotide non-coding RNA. The record is from Rfam. Lineage: Bacteria; Bacillati; Actinomycetota; Actinomycetes; Mycobacteriales; Mycobacteriaceae.
CUUGAUCGACCCCAGCCACAGCGGCUCGUCGCGGUCCUGGCCAUAGGUGGCCAGCAAGGCCUGGGCCUC